This 433-nucleotide ribosomal RNA is filed under the name Acanthamoeba genotype T4. RNAcentral's name for it is "SSU rRNA". It matches the Rfam family "Eukaryotic small subunit ribosomal RNA", at positions 497 to 808 of the family's 1831-position model. The record is from RNAcentral. Lineage: Eukaryota; Discosea; Longamoebia; Acanthamoebidae.
AGAGUCUUGUAAUUGGAAUGAGUACAAUUUAAACCCCUUAACGAGUAACAAUUGGAGGGCAAGUCUGGUGCCAGCAGCCGCGGUAAUUCCAGCUCCAAUAGCGUAUAUUAAAGUUGUUGCAGUUAAAAAGCUCGUAGUUGGAUCUAGGGACGCGCAUUUCAAGCGCCCGUGCCAUCGGGUCAAACCGGUGGCUGCGUUGGCGUUGCGGGCUCGGUCCGUCGGUGCCCACAAAGCAUCGGCGUGUCAACCGGCCCGCCCGUCCCCUCCUUCUGGAUUCCCGUUCCUGCUAUUGAGUUAGUGGGGACGUCACAGGGGGUCCAUCGUCGUCAUGCAAAUGGCGGCGGUGGGUCUCUGGGGCCCAGAUCGUUUACCGUGAAAAAAUUAGAGUGUUCAAAGCAGGCAGAUCCAAUUUUCUGCCACCGAAUACAUUAGC